Molecule: ribosomal RNA, 403 nt
Filed under: uncultured bacterium
Lineage: Bacteria
Description: bacterial SSU rRNA
Rfam family: Bacterial small subunit ribosomal RNA
Source: RNAcentral
GGGGAAUAUUGCACAAUGGGGGGAACCCUGAUGCAGCGACGCCGCGUGAGCGAAGAAGUAUUUCGGUAUGUAAAGCUCUAUCGGCAGGGAAGAAAAAAAUGACGGUACCUGACUAAGAAGCCCCGGCUAACUACGUGCCAGCAGCCGCGGUAAUACGUAGGGGGCAAGCGUUAUCCGGAUUUACUGGGUGUAAAGGGAGCGCAGGCGGUGCGGCAAGUCUGAUGUGAAAGCCCGGGGCUCAACCCCGGGACUGCAUUGGAAACUGUCGUACUUGAGUAUCGGAGAGGUAAGUGGAAUUCCUAGUGUAGCGGUGAAAUGCGUAGAUAUUAGGAGGAACACCAGUGGCGAAGGCGGCUUACUGGACGAUAACUGACGCUGAGGCUCGAAAGCGUGGGGAGCAAAC